CUUGCUCUGUGGGAUCAGUGGCGAACGGGUGAGUAACACGUGAGCAACCUGCCCCUGACUCUGGGAUAAGCGCUGGAAACGGCGUCUAAUACUGGAUACGAGUAGCGGCCGCAUGGUCAGUUACUGGAAAGAUUUUUUGGUUGGGGAUGGGCUCGCGGCCUAUCAGCUUGUUGGUGAGGUAAUGGCUCACCAAGGCGUCGACGGGUAGCCGGCCUGAGAGGGUGACCGGCCACACUGGGACUGAGACACGGCCCAGACUCCUACGGGAGGCAGCAGUGGGGAAUAUUGCACAAUGGGCGAAAGCCUGAUGCAGCAACGCCGCGUGAGGGAUGACGGCCUUCGGGUUGUAAACCUCUUUUAGCAGGGAAGAAGCGAAAGUGACGGUACCUGCAGAAAAAGCGCCGGCUAACUACGUGCCAGCAGCCGCGGUAAUACGUAGGGCGCAAGCGUUAUCCGGAAUUAUUGGGCGUAAAGAGCUCGUAGGCGGUUUGUCGCGUCUGCUGUGAAAUCCCGAGGCUCAACCUCGGGCCUGCAGUGGGUACGGGCAGACUAGAGUGCGGUAGGGGAGAUUGGAAUUCCUGGUGUAGCGGUGGAAUGCGCAGAUAUCAGGAGGAACACCGAUGGCGAAGGCAGAUCUCUGGGCCGUAACUGACGCUGAGGAGCGAAAGGGUGGGGAGCAAACAGGCUUAGAUACCCUGGUAGUCCACCCCGUAAACGUUGGGAACUAGUUGUGGGGUCCAUUCCACGGAUUCCGUGACGCAGC
Molecule: ribosomal RNA, 763 nt
Filed under: Microbacterium natoriense
Lineage: Bacteria; Bacillati; Actinomycetota; Actinomycetes; Micrococcales; Microbacteriaceae
Description: bacterial SSU rRNA
Rfam family: Bacterial small subunit ribosomal RNA
Source: RNAcentral